RNAcentral lists this ribosomal RNA (1445 nucleotides) under uncultured organism. RNAcentral's name for it is "16S ribosomal RNA". It matches the Rfam family "Bacterial small subunit ribosomal RNA". The record is from RNAcentral.
CAGGCUUAACACAUGCAAGUCGAGGGGCAGCACGGUCUUAGCUUGCUAAGGCCGAUGGCGACCGGCGCACGGGUGAGUAACACGUAUCCAACCUGCCGUCUACUCUUGGACAGCCUUCUGAAAGGAAGAUUAAUACAAGAUGGCAUCAUGAGUCCGCAUGUUCACAUGAUUAAAGGUAUUCCGGUAGACGAUGGGGAUGCGUUCCAUUAGAUAGUAGGCGGGGUAACGGCCCACCUAGUCUUCGAUGGAUAGGGGUUCUGAGAGGAAGGUCCCCCACAUUGGAACUGAGACACGGUCCAAACUCCUACGGGAGGCAGCAGUGAGGAAUAUUGGUCAAUGGGCGAGAGCCUGAACCAGCCAAGUAGCGUGAAGGAUGACUGCCCUAUGGGUUGUAAACUUCUUUUAUAAAGGAAUAAAGUCGGGUAUGGAUACCCGUUUGCAUGUACUUUAUGAAUAAGGAUCGGCUAACUCCGUGCCAGCAGCCGCGGUAAUACGGAGGAUCCGAGCGUUAUCCGGAUUUAUUGGGUUUAAAGGGAGCGUAGAUGGAUGUUUAAGUCAGUUGUGAAAGUUUGCGGCUCAACCGUAAAAUUGCAGUUGAUACUGGAUAUCUUGAGUGCAGUUGAGGCAGGCGGAAUUCGUGGUGUAGCGGUGAAAUGCUUAGAUAUCACGAAGAACUCCGAUUGCGAAGGCAGCCUGCUAAGCUGCAACUGACAUUGAGGCUCGAAAGUGUGGGUAUCAAACAGGAUUAGAUACCCUGGUAGUCCACACGGUAAACGAUGAAUACUCGCUGUUUGCGAUAUACUGCAAGCGGCCAAGCGAAAGCGUUAAGUAUUCCACCUGGGGAGUACGCCGGCAACGGUGAAACUCAAAGGAAUUGACGGGGGCCCGCACAAGCGGAGGAACAUGUGGUUUAAUUCGAUGAUACGCGAGGAACCUUACCCGGGCUUAAAUUGCAGAUGAAUUACGGUGAAAGCCGUAAGCCGCAAGGCAUCUGUGAAGGUGCUGCAUGGUUGUCGUCAGCUCGUGCCGUGAGGUGUCGGCUUAAGUGCCAUAACGAGCGCAACCCUUGUUGUCAGUUACUAACAGGUUCCGCUGAGGACUCUGACAAGACUGCCAUCGUAAGAUGUGAGGAAGGUGGGGAUGACGUCAAAUCAGCACGGCCCUUACGUCCGGGGCUACACACGUGUUACAAUGGGGGGUACAGAGGGCCGCUACCACGCGAGUGGAUGCCAAUCCCCAAAACCUCUCUCAGUUCGGACUGGAGCCUGCAACCCGACUCCACGAAGCUGGAUUCGCUAGUAAUCGCGCAUCAGCCACGGCGCGGUGAAUACGUUCCCGGGCCUUGUACACACCGCCCGUCAAGCCAUGGGAGCCGGGGGUACCUGAAGUGCGUAACCGCGAGGAGCGCCCUAGGGUAAAACUGGUGACUGGGGCUAAGUCAUAAC